This 1486-nucleotide long non-coding RNA is filed under the name Nicotiana benthamiana. RNAcentral describes it as "long non-coding RNA (NBEN_LNC003075)". The record is from RNAcentral. Lineage: Eukaryota; Viridiplantae; Streptophyta; Magnoliopsida; Solanales; Solanaceae.
GUGUUCCAUCAUUGGCCUUCAAAUACAAAUACUCGGGGCAUAACCCAGAUAAAAAUAUAUACAAAUUCUUCGGGGCAUUCCCCGGAUAAAUUUAACUAAGGGAACUACCUCUCCCCUUAAAACUACAAAAUCCUAAGGCUUGCCUACCCAAGUGUAGUCGGCCUAAACAUGCUCCUACCGAAAAAUUAGUAAAAAGAACUAUGCAAGUGAAAAAUUUAAAAUACUAACAACUCGUAUUUUAUCUCAUUCCAUAAACCUUAGGUCCAAUUUUAUUUUGAAUUGCAUCUCCGCAAAUUGCUCUUUUAAAUCCAACAACUUACGGUCCUAUUUCCAAUUCAAAUUAAGUAUAUAAUUCGAAUAACUAGACGUGCGAUUCCAAUUCACUCGCAGUCAAUUCAAGUAGUCAUACGAGAGGGCACAUUCAAAGCCAUAGAUAAUAAGUCACAAUAUCGGAUCACCAAGCAAAUAGUUAACAUUAGAACGAGCAAAGGAUUGAACCUUAUUGCGCGAAACCUUUCGAUUAAAUUUCAGUAGCUACGAAUGUGGUUUAAAGCAGCAAAUUCAACUCGAACCAAACCAACGGACCACACCUUGACGGAAACUCCAACAAUCGAAUACCCAUUACAACUCGACAUCAUUUCGGAAGCCAAGACCAAAGGAACAACUGCUUUUGCUUUUGGUCGUUGAAAAGAGAGAUCGACGUCGACGGAGAAAUUCUGCCGCUGACGAAUCAGAUCUUGCCUUCUUGGAAACAACGUUUAAUGGAAACCAAUUUCUUUUUCAAAGUAAAAUAUUCACAAGUUUGAAUCACUGGAACUAAUUUAACAAUAUAUAUAAAAUCUAAAAAAUGUCAAAAGGCAGAGUUCCUGAUUAAGCCUUCGCCAGAAAGCUAUUGUCCAAUCAACUUCUUUUCUUUCUCUUCACAAUCAAAGGAUGAGAAAAAGAAAAAAGAAAAAUUAGUGAGAGGGUGGUUGUGGUAGUUCUCCAUUAAUGGUGGUCAACCAUCGAUGGUGGUGAAGGAGGGCAGUGACGCAGGUUGUGGUUUAACGUUGGAGAGGGUGGUUCAGAGCAAGGAUCGUUGGCUGGCUGGUUACUAUUGAAAAGGAUCACCGGCGGGUGAAGACAUGGUGGUUGGCGGUGGCUGCGAGGUUAAUAAGAUGGGGUCUAUUUUAGGGUGAAGGUGACAAGUUUCAGGGGGUCUUCGCCGGUUUCAGGCGGUCAUGGUGGACGCUGGCGGCGAGUUUUAAGGGUUCUAGGGUUUGUAGUCUAGGUUCAUGGUGUCGUCUCCAUUGCUGUGUAAGGUUAGCUCCCUAGGUUUUUGGUUGUGUCUUGUGUGUUCUAAGGUUAAAGAAGAAGGAGGAGGGUUAGGAAGAAGGUAAUGGGUUACGUCUUGUGCUUUUAAAUUGGGCUCAAAGAUAUUGGGUUAAAAAUAAAUGUCCAAACCUUAAUUAAAUCACUUUAAUAUAAGAUUAAUGUAUUAAAAAUG